UGUGUGUGUGUGUGUGUGUGUGUGUGUGUGUGUGUGUGUGCAUGUGCGCAUACAGACUUAUGUGUACAUACAUACAAGCAUGCAGGUACCCAAAGGCUGUUGUAUCCCCUGGAGCUGGAGUUACAAGCGAUUAUAAGCUGCCUGUCUGGGAUGCUGGGAACCAAAGUCUGGUCCUCUACAAGAGCAGUAAGUACCCUUUACCACUGAGCCAUCUCUCUAGUGCCUUUUGUUCCUUUUAAAGUUUGUCAGCCUAAAGGAUUAGAUUCCUGCUCUCUGCACUCCACACCUUUUUUUAUGGCACCGGAGAUCAAGCUUGGCCUUGGCCUUGACAAGCAAGUGCACUGUCACUGAGCUGCGCCCAAGCCCUCCCUUCUCUCCUGCUCUUUUGUUUCACUAAGGUCUCUCUUCCUCCUUUUCACAAACCCUUUUCUGUUUUCCUCCUCCAUUGAUUGUACAGCCUCUUUCUUUUUCUUCUAACUGUAAUGCUCCAUGUCUUUUUAUCAACAGAAACCAUUUGGACAGAGCGUCUGAACUAUCUCUCUGUACAGUGCACAGUGCUCCAGCCUGUGAGGUCUGUGAAGCUUCUGGCAGAACAGCCUUGUCUUAGUGGCAGCAGCAGGCUCCUGUGGUUUCCUGAUAUACCCUGGAUGUGAGUGGAGCCUGGUGGAGCUUACCUAGUAACUGUCCAUCCUGGAUUCCUUCACCAGAAGAUAUAGGGGUUUGAGGAAACCUGAGUGUUAUGGCUUGGAUCUUGAAUGUGGCCCCCAGGAUCAUGUUGUGAAAGCCAGGUCCCCAGCCUGUAGCAUUCCUUCAAAGACUAUGCAGGGAGCAGAAUGGGGAUUAGUAUUCCUGGAAGCACCACCAAGUGGCUUCUACCCCAAGAAUGUUGGCCUUUGUGCAACCGUGGUGCUAUGGAUCAAACUCAGGACCUUGGACAUGGUAGGCAAGCACUCUACCAGGAUUCUUCUUGAAGGAAACUUUAAGAGCCAACGACAGUUCGGGCCAAGAUUACCCGUUGGUGAGGACAUUUUUCUCUGGUUAUUUCUCUAGUUGUGGUUUUCAUAAUGCUGACCCUCUAUCCCUUUUCUUAUUAGUCACCUAUUCACACCUUUCAGAGUUCCUUCUUCCAUGACCAGGGUCCAUCCAGUGCUGUUAUUUGCAAGUGCACAGUGUCCAUUGGUUCUGUAUUUGGUGUUUUAGCUGUAGUUUCGUUUCCCAGGGCAAGCUCACUCACCAUUGCCAUGUGGAAUCACUGCUCUGCUGUCUCCUGCCUCUUGUCACUUUGGGUUCUCGUUUUCAGUGAUGCUUAGGAGUUAUGUGUAUUAGACCUACCUGAAGAACUUGUUAAAACUAGCUGGCUCCAACCCAGAGCGGAGCCUAGGAAUCUGUAUUUCCAAGUGU
This is a long non-coding RNA of Peromyscus californicus insignis, 1401 nucleotides long. RefSeq lists it as uncharacterized. NCBI's taxonomy places the organism in Eukaryota, Metazoa, Chordata, Mammalia, Rodentia, Cricetidae. The transcript has 4 exons. The record is from RefSeq and is a predicted model, not a curated record.